UGCAUAUUCAAUCCGUCACUCAUACCCUAAACUCUAAGACCCAGAAAUCAAUCAGAUCUGUCCGUCUCUUGCGUUGUGGCCUACAUCUUGUCUUGUGCUUUUGAGUGGGCUUCUCACUCCCCCAGAAACUUCACUUUUCCCUUCAUCAGAUGGAAGUGAAUCUCAACCAACCUUAGCUGCUGCAAGAAGCAGUGCUUUAUAUAGAUCAACUUCCUCAGCCAAGCCUUCAAGGUUUGAUGUUUGCAGUUACAUACUGUUGGCUUAAUUCAUACUCUUGUUGUUUAAAAUCACAGUGCUGUUGCGUGGUGCGGGAAGCUGAAUGCCAUAGCUUGUGCCUCAGAAACUUGUGCAAGAAUACCA
Long non-coding RNA from Rosa rugosa (rugosa rose), 360 nucleotides. RefSeq lists it as uncharacterized. The transcript is spliced from 3 exons. The record is from RefSeq and is a predicted model, not a curated record. Lineage: Eukaryota; Viridiplantae; Streptophyta; Magnoliopsida; Rosales; Rosaceae.